CUUCCGUAGGUGAACCUGCGGAAGGAUCAUUACCGAGUGUAGGGUUCCUAGCGAGCCCAACCUCCCACCCGUGUUUACUGUACCUUAGUUGCUUCGGCGGGCCCGCCAUUCGUGGCCGCCGGGGGCUCUCAGCCCCGGGCCCGCGCCCGCCGGAGACACCACGAACUCUGUCUGAUCUAGUGAAGUCUGAGUUGAUUGUAUCGCAAUCAGUUAAAACUUUCAACAAUGGAUCUCUUGGUUCCGGCAUCGAUGAAGAACGCAGCGAAAUGCGAUAACUAGUGUGAAUUGCAGAAUUCCGUGAAUCAUCGAGUCUUUGAACGCACAUUGCGCCCCCUGGUAUUCCGGGGGGCAUGCCUGUCCGAGCGUCAUUGCUGCCCAUCAAGCACGGCUUGUGUGUUGGGUCGUCGUCCCCUCUCCGGGGGGGACGGGCCCCAAAGGCAGCGGCGGCACCGCGUCCGAUCCUCGAGCGUAUGGGGCUUUGUCACCCGCUCUGUAGGCCCGGCCGGCGCUUGCCGAACGCAAAUCAAUCUUUUUCCAGGUGACCUCGGAUCAUGUAGAACAAAGCUUUCCGUGUUGUGGGA
RNAcentral lists this ribosomal RNA (581 nucleotides) under Aspergillus oryzae. Its description in RNAcentral is "eukaryotic LSU rRNA". The stretch from base 215 to 368 matches the Rfam family "5.8S ribosomal RNA". The record is from RNAcentral. Lineage: Eukaryota; Fungi; Ascomycota; Eurotiomycetes; Eurotiales; Aspergillaceae.